Molecule: ribosomal RNA, 863 nt
Filed under: uncultured bacterium
Lineage: Bacteria
Description: bacterial SSU rRNA
Rfam family: Bacterial small subunit ribosomal RNA
Source: RNAcentral
AGAGUUUGAUCAUGGCUCAGGGCGAACGCUGGCGGCGUGCCUAAUACAUGCAAGUAGAACGCUGAAAUCUGGUGCUUGCACCGGAUGGAUGAGUUGCGAACGGGUGAGUAACGCGUAGGUAACCUACCUCAUAGCGGGGGAUAACUAUUGGAAACGAUAGCUAAUACCGCAUAACAGUCUUUAACUCAUGUUAGAGUCUUGAAAGGGGCAAUUGCUUCACUAUGAGAUGGACCUGCGUUGUAUUAGCUAGUUGGUGAGGUAACGGCUCACCAAGGCGACGAUACAUAGCCGACCUGAGAGGGUGAUCGGCCACACCGGGACUGAGACACGGCCCAGACUCCUACGGGAGGCAGCAGUAGGGAAUCUUCGGCAAUGGGGGCAACCCUGACCGAGCAACGCCGCGUGAGUGAAGAAGGUUUUCGGAUCGUAAAGCUCUGUUGUAAGAGAAGAACGUGUGUGAGAGUGGAAAGUUCACACAGUGACGGUAUCUUACCAGAAAGGGACGGCUAACUACGUGCCAGCAGCCGCGGUAAUACGUAGGUCCCGAGCGUUGUCCGGAUUUAUUGGGCGUAAAGCGAGCGCAGGCGGUUUGAUAAGUCUGAAGUUAAAGGCUGUGGCUCAACCAUAGUACGCUUUGGAAACUGUCAAACUUGAGUGCAGAAGGGGAGAGUGGAAUUCCAUGUGUAGCGGUGAAAUGCGUAGAUAUAUGGAGGAACACCGGUGGCGAAAGCGGCUCUCUGGUCUGUAACUGACGCUGAGGCUCGAAAGCGUGGGUAGCGAACAGGAUUAGAUACCCUGGUAGUCCACGCCGUAAACGAUGAGUGCUAGGUGUUAGGCCCUUUCCGGGGCUUAGUGCCGCAGCU